CAGGAAUGGUUCAGGCGGGGUAAAAUACUCUGAACAACACAACCAUAGCCAUUUACUCACUAGCCUGUCUACCUGCAUUCAUUUUAAAGCAAUAACUCAUGGAUGAGCAACACCACUCAUUGGCAACCACUCACACUGAUGGCUCCACUUAUGUGGUGACCAAAACAGCAGCACCUCCCCACAGUCAGAUCACGAAUCGCCGUGACUUCAUCUGCACAUUAUGCAAUUCAAUCAUGUCCCAAAACACUCCAUUUAUUUUGGAUUGUCUUCAGGCGUUGUGUUGAAUAUCAGGAGCGAGAUAACAACAGCGAAGGUAACCGGGUCAGAGAAGUCAAACACACAGGUCGAAACAAGACCAAAGGGACCGUCGGUCAGAACAUCUCCGCCAACUGGCUACCUACACGGACUCUCUGAGGCUUGCAGGAACACGGAUCUGCAGCGAUCGUUAGAGCGGGGAAAAAAAAAAUAUUUGAAUAUUCUCAGGCGCUCCUAAACCAGCUUAAAUUGGAUCAUUUUAUUGUGCCGCUCCACCCUGCCAAAAUGCCAAGAGAGUGUGGGUCUUGGCGAAGGCCGGCACUCCUGAAUCUUCCCCGCGGCCUGCGCGCCCCCCCACCCCUCUGCACUAUCUGCUGACACAGAGUCUUGCCCCAGGCCGAAGCUCCCCGCAUGGCCAGCCUCCUGCUGGGAAAAGAUGCACUGAGCUGGAGAGAGCUGGAGGCGUCCCAGCACACAACUGGCCAGCAAGCCACUCAAUGCAUGACACCUCACAUAUGUGUGCGCCUCCCUUUUAUACAGUAUGUACGGC
This 805-nucleotide long non-coding RNA is filed under the name Sinocyclocheilus anshuiensis. RNAcentral's name for it is "lncRNA (ENSSANG00000005266.1)". Lineage: Eukaryota; Metazoa; Chordata; Actinopteri; Cypriniformes; Cyprinidae. The record is from RNAcentral.